CCCUUAGAUGUUCUGGGCCGCACGCGCGCUACACUGAUGCAUUCAACGAGUCUAAAACCUGCUCUGAUAGGGGUGGGUAAUCUUUUGAAUGUGCAUCGUGAUUGGGAUAGAUGAUUGCAAUUUUUCAUCUUCAACGAGGAAUGCCUAGUAAACGCAAGUCAUCAGCUUGCAUUGAUUACGUCCCUGCCCUUUGUACACACCGCCCGUCGCUCCUACCGAUUGAAUGAUCCGAUGAAUAUCAUGGAUUGAGGAUUAUAGCAGGUUCGCCUGUCUUGAUCCUCGAGAAGUGAAGUAAAUCUUAUCAUUUAGAGGAAGGAGAAGUCGUAACA
This 329-nucleotide ribosomal RNA is filed under the name uncultured eukaryote. RNAcentral describes it as "partial 18S ribosomal RNA". It matches the Rfam family "Eukaryotic small subunit ribosomal RNA", at positions 1470 to 1796 of the family's 1831-position model. The record is from RNAcentral.